RNAcentral lists this ribosomal RNA (253 nucleotides) under uncultured bacterium. RNAcentral describes it as "partial 16S ribosomal RNA". It matches the Rfam family "Bacterial small subunit ribosomal RNA", at positions 524 to 776 of the family's 1533-position model. The record is from RNAcentral.
UACGGGGGGGGCAAGCGUUGUUCGGAAUUACUGGGCGUAAAGGGCUCGUAGGUGGCCAACUAAGUCAGACGUGAAAUCCCUCGGCUUAACCGGGGAACUGCGUCUGAUACUGGAUGGCUUGAGUUCGGGAGAGGGAUGCGGAAUUCCAGGUGUAGCGGUGAAAUGCGUAGAUAUCUGGAGGAACACCGGUGGCGAAGGCGGCUCACUGGCCCGAUACUGACGCUGAGGUGCGAAAGCGUGGGGAGCAAACAGG